GAGGCUGCUACUCAAGUCUCUGCUCCUAAUACUGGUAAGGGUGAAAGUAAUAAGGUUGGUGAAUGUCCAACUGCUGUGGCACAUAACAAUGACCAAGUAGUUGAAUCUGAGCAUGCACCUGCAGUAGAAGCACCUGCAGUAGAAGCCCCUGUUGACCAUGCUAGUGAACAGGUCAUUGAACCUGAAGUUGGUCCUGCAACUGGUGUACCUACUGAGCAUGAUAGUGAAAAGCUUGUAGAACCCGCAAGUAAGUCACCUGUUGAACCUCCAAGUGCACCACUGCUUGAACCUGCUGCUGCCCCCACGCAGCAGAAGGAAGCCUCUCUAAAGGAUCACCAAGAGAGUGCUCCAACUCAACUAUCUGCAGCUGCUGCCCCUGUAGCCAAGAAAGGUAGGAAACGGUAUAAGUCGACUAUGUCAAAUCCAUAUCAGACACUAGCUGCUGCUCUACAACCACCAUCUGAUGAAGAUGAGCCUCAGAAAGAUGACCAACUGGCUGACCAAGGAUCUCAGCCCCCUGCUGCUAAACCCACCAGGAAGAAGAUGGUGCCUUCCAAAUCCACUCGCAAGAGUAAAAUACUUAAAUGAUUAGCAUCUCAUCUGGAUUUUUAGU
This 613-nucleotide unclassified non-coding RNA is filed under the name Hevea brasiliensis (rubber tree). Lineage: Eukaryota; Viridiplantae; Streptophyta; Magnoliopsida; Malpighiales; Euphorbiaceae. The record is from RNAcentral.